RNAcentral lists this ribosomal RNA (447 nucleotides) under uncultured bacterium. Its description in RNAcentral is "bacterial SSU rRNA". It matches the Rfam family "Bacterial small subunit ribosomal RNA", at positions 355 to 825 of the family's 1533-position model. The record is from RNAcentral.
UGGGGAAUCUUGCACAAUGGGGGAAACCCUGAUGCAGCGACGCCGCGUGAGUGGUGAAGCCCUUCGGGGUGUAAAGCUCUUUCGACAGGAACGAUAAUGACGGUACCUGGAGAAGAAGCUGCGGCUAACUACGUGCCAGCAGCCGCGGUAAUACGUAGGCAGCAAACGUUGUUCGGAGUUACUGGGCGUAAAGAGUGCGUAGGCGGUUUGCCAAGUCUGGUGUGAAAUCUCCUGGCUUAACUGGGAGGGUGCGCCGGAUACUGGCAGGCUUGAGUGUGGGAGAGGAAAGCAGAAUUCCUGGUGUAGCGGUGAAAUGCGUAGAUAUCAAGAGGAACACCUGAGGUGAAGACGGGUUGCUGGGCUGACACUGACGCUGAGGCGCGAAAGCCAGGGGAGCAAACGGGAUUAGAUACCCUUGUAGUCCCUGAGCGGGCUGGCAAGGCGCAU